UGGGGGAUAUUGCACAAUGGGCGAAAGCCUGAUGCAGCGACGCCGCGUGGGGGAUGAAGGCCUUCGGGUUGUAAACUUCUUUUGCUCUGAACAAGGCAUGCCUUUGGGGUGUGUUGAGUGUAGGGGUUGAUUAGCGCCGGCUAACUACGUGCCAGCAGCCGCGGUAAUACGUAGGGCGCCAGCGUUGUCCGGAAUUAUUGGGCGUAAAGGGCUUGUAGGUGGCUGGUUGCGUCUGUCGUGAAAGCCCAUGGCUUAACUGUGGGUUUGCGGUGGGUACGGGGAGGCUUGAGUGCAGUAGGGGAGGGUGGAAUUGCGGGUGUAGCGGUGGAAUUCGUAGAUAUCAGGAGGAAUACCGGUGGCGAAGGCGGCUCGCUGGGCUGUUACUGACGCUGAGGAGCGAAAGCGUGGGGAGCGAACAGG
RNAcentral lists this ribosomal RNA (420 nucleotides) under Fusobacteriota bacterium. Its description in RNAcentral is "Fusobacteria bacterium partial 16S ribosomal RNA". It matches the Rfam family "Bacterial small subunit ribosomal RNA", at positions 355 to 776 of the family's 1533-position model. Lineage: Bacteria; Fusobacteriati; Fusobacteriota. The record is from RNAcentral.